UACGUAGGGUGCAAGCGUUGUCCGGAAUUAUUGGGCGUAAAGAGCUCGUAGGCGGUUUGUCGCGUCUGCUGUGAAACGCGGGGCUCAACUCCGGGCCUGCAGUGGGUACGGGCAGACUAGAGUGCGGUAGGGAGACUGGAAUUCCUGGUGUAGCGGUGAAAUGCGCAGAUAUCAGGAGGAACACCGGUGGCGAAGGCGGGUCUCUGGGCCGUAACUGACGCUGGAGGAGCG
This 231-nucleotide ribosomal RNA is filed under the name uncultured bacterium. Its description in RNAcentral is "partial 16S ribosomal RNA". It matches the Rfam family "Bacterial small subunit ribosomal RNA", at positions 524 to 755 of the family's 1533-position model. The record is from RNAcentral.